AAGGGACUGCUUCGUUGCUUCGUGAUCCGGAGUGAAGUGCACCUCUUGCCGAGUGAAGGGGGGCGAAGCUUGGAAGAGGAGGGAAGGGACUGCUCCAUUGCUUCGUGAUCCAGAGUGAAGUGCACCUCUUGCCGAGUGAAGGGGGGGAAGCUUGGAAGAGGAGGGAAGGGACUGCUCCGUUGUUUCGUGAUUCGGAGUGAAGUGCACCUCUUACCGAGUGAAGGGGGGGAUGCUUCGUGAUCUCCCACCCCCUAGUGACAAUAGCAUAAGCCGUUGCAUAUGAGAUGAU
Molecule: long non-coding RNA, 289 nt
Filed under: Theobroma cacao (cacao)
Lineage: Eukaryota; Viridiplantae; Streptophyta; Magnoliopsida; Malvales; Malvaceae
Description: long non-coding RNA (TCAC_LNC006061)
Source: RNAcentral